This 3257-nucleotide long non-coding RNA is filed under the name Homo sapiens (human). RNAcentral's name for it is "non-protein coding lnc-MESD-2:1". The record is from RNAcentral. Lineage: Eukaryota; Metazoa; Chordata; Mammalia; Primates; Hominidae.
CUGCCACCGGGCCAACUCAGAAGGUCCCCGCGGCGCUGCGGCAACCGGCCCGGGCCCCGGCUCCUGCCAUUUUUGUCAACCGCCAACUUCCGAGCGAGCGGGCAGAAACUGAAAGGAAGGGCGGGGGCCGAAAGGCAGAGGGGAAAACACCCGCUUCCUCUCCGCGCGCGGCUUCACCUCGGAGCGCGGCCGUGGCUGCGCCGCCGCCCGCAGGGGCUGCCGGAGGCUUUUCCUGUUCCCGUCCGCGCCUCGCCCCCGGGCUCGCCGCCGCCGCCGCCUCGGCCGUAACCUCCCUGGAGCCUAUAGAAAUCUUUUGUGUGGCGUCACCGCCUUUCGUUUAAAUCCCGCUUCCUCCUCUCGCCCUUCCUCCCGCCCCCUCCGCCGCUCCCGGAUGCUUGCGCGAUGCGCUGCUCCUCCCCCGGGAAGCUGGGUGGCUGCGGGGGACGCCGCCGCCCAACGCGGACGCUGCCGGCGUGGGGCCGGUGGUCCUGAACUCCCCCGUGGUCCUGGGCCGAGAGACUGGGGGAGCGGACAGGGGAAGGCCUGCUCCGGCCCGGGGGCUCUGCGCACACCCAUGGGAGACCGGGGCGCAGCCGCCCGCGGGCCUUACGUAAGCUCUUAGCCGGACCAGGGGGCUCCACGCUUCCUCCCCGCCAAGAGAGCAAGUCUAAAAGGUGACCUGGCUUCUGGGCUGAAGGGAGGAGGACACUGGAUUUCGGCCCCUGGUGAUUUGCUGGGGCCGGUGGGUCGUCUCGGUCUGCGCGACUUCGCCCGGUUUUCCAACGCCCCCUGCCCUUUGUUGUGUUUGAUCCACUUCCACGAUGGGUUUCCGACCAGCAGUGCAGUGUAACGAAAAGAGGAAAAGAGCACUGGAUGGGGAGUCCGAAGAGUGGUGCUAGAUGCCUGCCCGUUCCUCCCUUGAAAUACGCCUUAUGCAGUGAGAGCGCGGGUUCUGAAGCAGAUUUCCUAGGAUCAGCCUUUCUCAAGCCAUUUAUGAGUUCCAUGACAUUGUUCAAGUUCUCUUUCCAAGUAUCCGUCUUCUCUUCUAGAAAUUAGAGAUUGUGCACAGGCUGCUUGAGUACUUGGUUCCUAAACAGUAGCUGUUAGAAUUAUUAUGAGCCCUGAUCAGCGCACUUUGCCCUCUCAUAACGUCUAUUUAUUCGUCUGUAUAAUGGAAUAAUAGUGGCUGCUGUUAAAUGAAUUAAAUACGACGGCGUUUGGAGGGAAACAUUACUACUCCAGUUUUACAGAUAAGGAAACUGAUGAUCAGGUGCUUGAAGUGACUUCCGAAGAUCAGGAAGACAGCAUAUGGCAGGGACAGGAACCCACGCCUACGCCCCAGCCUCUUUUUACCGAACCUUGUUCUUCAGGAAGUGGUUAAAACACCUGGGCUACUCCCAGCAAAACGCCAGUCACGCAGUCCUGAAACAGGUCCUCUAAGGUGCCCAGCCCAACACAGGCUGGGCGUGCUGAGCCAACAGAAUGUUUGUUCCUCUGUCCCUUCCUAGAACCCCAAGUCACCUUUCUCCAGCCAGUUAAAAACGUUACUUUUAACUAGGAUGACGUUUCAAUUUAUCGGCCAUAUCCAAGCAUUUCUGAGAAUGAACUGUGAGACAUGCUAUUAAUAAAUUAACCAUGAACAGCAGGUUCAAACCUGGAUGGAUAGUCAUCCUACUUAUAACUGAAAGUAUCCUUAAAUAUCUUUAGAAUCCGGAUGAGCCCACUUAGUUUGCAAACCGAGGUCAAUAAAACUGACUUGAAAUAGGAAGUAAUUAUGUAGGGUUAAUUCCUUUUUUUCUUCUACAAGAGAAAAAAAAAACAGCUGGAUAAGUCAAGGUUUUUCCAUGGUGACCCAGGGAUUGCACCUUAGUCCUUCUUAAGCUCCAAAAACUUAUGAGAGGGGGCCGAAAGCGAUGGCUCACACCUGUAAUCCCAGCACUUUGGGAGGCCAAGGCAGGCGCAUCACGAGGUCAGGAGAUCAAGACCAUCCUGGCUAACACAGUGAAACCCCGUCUCUACUAAAAAUGCAAAAAAUUAGCCGGGCAUGGUGGCGGGCGCCUGUAGUCCCAGCUACUCGGGAGGCUGAGGCAGGAGAAUGGCAUGAACCCGGGAGGCGGAGCUUGCAGUGAGCGGAGAUCGCGCCACUGCACUGCAGCCUGGGCGACAGAGGGAGACUCCGUCUCAAAAAAAAAUAAAUAAAUAAAUAAAUAAAACUUAUGAGAGGGAAGUCAGACUGUUCUGUGCCUAGUUUAUUCUUGAGGCUGCUCUAAGAUCAGAUUUUUUUUCCAAAGCCACGUAGUGCCCCUGGGGGUCCCAUUUUCCCUUUCUUCUACAUAUGCAGUCUGUUUUGUUGUUGAUGGAAACCCACCCCGACAAUGAGUUGUGUUACACACAGACUGUCCACUCUAUUCAGUGAGGUUUGGUUUCAUUUUUAAAACUGAUAGCAUUGUUUUCUCGGCCUUCCCUGCUUCAUUUUUCAGAUAGGGAAGCUCCUAAACUGAUCCUCCCAGGCACUGCCUCCACCUUUCUUUAGGUUCACCUUUACUUUGUCCGAUUGUUCAAUCACUCCACAAUCACUGGGCACCAGUCUUGUGCUAGGCACCAAAGUUACAUAAUUUGUAAUAUGAGGCCCCCACUCUUUAGAGUCCAGGGAUAGGAGUAGAUUCACAAGAAACAGCCACAAUUUCACUAUUGGCACAGUGAGAGCACAGAGUAAAAAACCUAUAGCAGAGAUAAUCAGGCUUCACAGAUACAAUAUUUGUAGGUAGGCAGGGCCAUGUGGUUCUGUCUGACCAAUGAAAUGUAAGGGGAAGCUAUGCAGGUUACUUCUAGGCUGAGACAAUGAAAAGCCAAUCUGUAAUUCUCCACUCUCUUGCCCUCCUAUAACUACCACGGAGACUGCAUUCUAGUUGGUGGAGCCUCUGUAAGCUUAGGUGACCAUGUGGAGCAGACCCUCUUGAUCUGUAGUGGACAUGCAAUGUGAACACAAAGUAAAUUAUUGGUGUGUUAAGUCACAGAGAUUUGAGGGUUGUCUGUUGCUGUUGCAUAUUUUUAGUCUAAUUAGAGGAUGGCUUGUUGGUGUCUGCCCUUAGAGUCACUCAAGCAAUGGCUUUUUCUUUAGAAAACUCCACCUAUUACCCCUUCUAACCCUCUCAAAAUUAAAAUAAAUAUAAAUCAAAAGUAUUUGCUGUGAUCUGACCCCCAAAUUCAUAUGUUAAAACUUAAUCACCAGUGUCACAGUAUUACAAGGUGAGCCU